UAGCUAGGGGCAAAAAAAAUCUAAACUCUAGGACUCUUGGGCGAUUUUGGCCGCCCGUAGAGAUGACGCUGCGAGCCCGCCCGCCGCUCUCUUCCUCCUCCUCCUUGCCGCUCACGACCCUUCCAAUCCGGCUCCGCUGCCCGCUCCAUUCCUCCCGGCCCUCCAAGCUCUUCUUCCUCCACGCCCAUCCCCGGUCCCCGGUCCAGCUGCGUCCAACCCACCGCUCCUCGGCCCGUCCUGGCGGACCUCGUUUCUUGGGGCGAGAUGACGCCGACGAGGAGGAGGAUGAGGAGGAGGAGGGGUGGAGGUCGGCACCACCUGCCGGCCCCUCCGGGGCUCACCUCGUCGGCGCGCUGGACGACGACGACGGCGACGGCGACAGCGGGGGCCGCGUUGGGUGGGGCGCAACCCGCGGUGACGACGCCGGGGGAGUGGAGAUUCAAGAGCUCGGGGCGGACGGCGGCGGGGAGGCAGCCGAGUGGGACCCCCCUGUCCGCCUCUUCCGAUGGCCGGUUCAGGUACAGCGUCAGCCAGAGGAGGAGGAAGACGACGAAGACGGGAGUGGCUGCGAGUGGUCGGACCCGGGCUGCUUCUUGCGAGGCCAAGAGGAGGCCGCCGGUGCCGUGCGCACCACCACGGCCAUGGAAGAAAUUCUCGCCUUCGCGCGGAGCCACGAGGCUGACGGGCAGGCGUUUGCCGAGUUCUUGGCGGGGUACAGGCACGCAGCGUUCGGCGUGGAGGAAUGCGUGGAGCUGACGAGGAGGAUGGGGGAGGAGGGGCUGGCAUUGGGGUGCCUCCACCUCCUCCGUUGGAUGCAGGCUCCGGAGGAGACAUUGUUGUUGUCCCCGCAGGCAUGGCUGCUCGCUGUUGUGGUGCUUGGACGUGCUGAGAUGGCCGAUGAAGUGCUGGAGAUUGUAGAAGGCUUGCCUCCCGAGAGGAGAUUCAGGAAGGCUGUCCUUUACAACGCUGCAAUGUCAGGUCUUGCCUAUUGCGGAAGAUAUGAUGAUGCUUGGAAAGUAUUUAAGCUUAUGGAAAAGAACAAUAUCCAGCCUGAUCACAUGACAUCCUUAAUCAUGCUAAAUGUAAUGAACAAGGGCAAUGCAUCUGCCAAGGAUGCAUGGGAAUUCUUCCAACGGAUGGACAGAAAAGGUGUCAAGUGGAGCUUGGACAUAUGCAUUUGUCUUAUCAAGAUCUUCUGUGAUGAGGGACUGAAAACAGAAGCUCUUAUCAUCCAGUCAGCAAUGGAGAAGAGAGGAAUUGCAUCAAACACGAGCAUAUAUAACACAUUAAUAAAUGCUUACUGCAAAGCCAAUCAAAUCGAAGAGGCAGAGGGACUUUUUGUUGAGAUGAAAGAGAAAGGCUUGUGUGCGACAACAGUGACCUAUAAUAUCCUUAUGGGUGCUUACAGUAGAAGAUUGCAACCAGAAGUUGUUGAGUCUUUACUGCUGGAGAUGCAAGAUUUAGGACUACAACCAAAUGCGAGAUCAUACAACUUUCUCAUUAACACUUAUGGGCAACAGAAGAAAAUGACUGAAAAGGCUGAAGAUGCUUUUUUAAGGAUGAAGACAGUUGGCAUUAUGCCAACAUCUUCUACAUACACUUCUCUUCUUUGUGCAUAUGCAGUUAAUGGACUGUAUGAAAAAGCUCUUUUGACAUAUGUGGAUAUGAAAAGAGAAGGAUUUAAGCCUUCCAUUGAAACAUAUACAGCUUUGAUUGACAUGUUUAGGAGAGCUGGUGACACAGAGAAGUUAAUGGAGACUUGGAGAUCAAUGAUCGAUGAGAAGGUUCCUGGAACAAGAGUAAUAUUCCACAUGGUGCUUGAUGGUCUGGCAAAACAUGGGCUGUAUGUCCAGGCGAUGGAUGUGAUGUAUGAGUUUAGAAGGGCUGGUUUACAGCCAAAUGUUAUGACAUACAACAUUUUGAUGAAUGCUUUUGCAAGGGGAGGACAACACUACAAAUUGCCCCAACUCUUGAAAGAGAUGGCUGCUCUGGAAAUAAAACCAGAUUCUGUGACAUAUUCCACAAUGAUUUAUGCGUAUGCCCGUGUCCGUGACUUUUCGAGAGCAUUCUAUUACCACAAGCUGAUGGUUCGAAGUGGACAGUUGCCUGAUGUUAGGUCAUAUAAAAAGUUAUUGAAUACAUUGGAUGUGAAAGCUGCAAGAAAGAACAUAAAGGAUAGGAGUGCUGUGGUAGGAAUCUUAAAAGGAAAGUCUAGCUUGAAACAUAGAAAGGAGAAGAAGGAUGAGUUUUGGAAGAACAGAAAAAAACGUUCUAUGAUGAAUAAGGUUUAUGGGUACCCAAGGAAAAGAUCUUUGUGAUGCUUUUCUUAUGUGUACAUCAGUAUCCCGGAUGUUCAUCCUUGUGCAUUACAAUGGCAUAUAAAAUGAAUGGUCUGGAAGUUUCAUGGUCGCCAUAUUUUAAUUCUCUUGAAGCAUUCAGGCUUUGUGUUUUAAAUUGGCUGGCCUAGACGACUAUUCAGCGCUGGCAUUGGAAAGCUGUCCUGCACGAUGGUAGGCAACAGUCUAUGGUAAUUUUGUCAACUCACCGAGGAACACAAUGCUAAAUUAUUUUAAUUUACUACAGAGGGAAUAAAAGUCCAGUUUCAGAGUGGAGGCAAGCCACCAUCCUUCAGCCAAGCCAUGGGAGUGGCGAAGAGCCAAAGACUACAAUUUGUGGCGUAGACCGCAAGAUCUGGCAAGGGCCACGAUACAUGGCACAGUUCACAGAUCAUGAUGACAGACUACGAUAAGCAAUCAGCGAGUGAAGGAAAUAAGUCUUGGGGAGCUGAGGUCCAUAGGGGAUGGCCUAUCUAAAACCCCUGUGUGGCACAGCAGCACUGGAAAAAGGGGAAAGACAAUUUUAUCCUGUUUAUGUAAUGUAAAAUCAUGUAUAAGCCAAAUCCUGGGGCUAUAAAUAGACCCCAAGAGGGAGUUCUGAAAGGAGGAAUCUGAGAAAGCAAAUAGAAAUUUACUGUCUUUGCAUACAUUUAGAAAUACUAUGGUAUACCUCUACAACACAUAUCUAGCACUAUCCAUUACAGAAAGAUAACUGAUUUUGUUGUUUGUGUCUUUUAGUUCAUAUUCAAUUUGAGAAUAUUAUGGAUAUGUACAUAAUACUAGCUUAUAUAUAUAUAUACCCUAUAGAUGAUAUUGUCAUCUAUGCAGCUAUUAUUUUGACCUCCAGCAUCAGACUGUCCAAAUUGUUAUAUACUGAAUUGUUGAAUGCAGUAAGACGGAACAUUAAACUAUGUGUUUUCAAUAGGGCGCUGAUGGCGAU
This is an RNA transcript of Oryza brachyantha (malo sina), 3276 nucleotides long. It is a transcript of the gene named pentatricopeptide repeat-containing protein At5g50280, chloroplastic, with no coding region annotated. NCBI's taxonomy places the organism in Eukaryota, Viridiplantae, Streptophyta, Magnoliopsida, Poales, Poaceae. The record is from RefSeq and is a predicted model, not a curated record. The transcript has 5 exons.